RNAcentral lists this ribosomal RNA (253 nucleotides) under uncultured bacterium. RNAcentral describes it as "partial 16S ribosomal RNA". It matches the Rfam family "Bacterial small subunit ribosomal RNA", at positions 524 to 776 of the family's 1533-position model. The record is from RNAcentral.
UACGUAGGGGGCAAGCGUUGUCCGGAUUUAUUGGGCGUAAAGAGCGUGUAGGCGGCCAGAUAGGUCUGCUGUGAAAACUCGAGGCUCAACCUCGAGCUGUCGGCGGAAACCAUCUGGCUAGAGUCCGGAAGAGGAGAGUGGAAUUCCCGGUGUAGCGGUGAAAUGCGUAGAGAUGUGGAGGAACACCGAUGGCGAAGGCAGCCCCCUGGGUCAAGAUUGACGCUCAUGCACGAAAGCGUGGGGAGCAAACAGG